Molecule: ribosomal RNA, 111 nt
Filed under: Vibrio mediterranei
Lineage: Bacteria; Pseudomonadati; Pseudomonadota; Gammaproteobacteria; Vibrionales; Vibrionaceae
Also listed under: 1 other name
Source: RNAcentral
CGACCAUAGCGUUGUGGACCCACCUGAUUCCAUGCCGAACUCAGAAGUGAAACGCAAUAGCGCCGAUGGUAGUGUGGGGCUUCCCCAUGUGAGAGUAGGACAUCGCCAGGC